GUACCCUUAGCUCAGUUGGAUAGAGCAUCAGAUUGCGGAUCUGAAGGUCGGAGGUUCGAAUCCUCUAGGGUACG
This 74-nucleotide transfer RNA is filed under the name Spirochaeta lutea. It matches the Rfam family "tRNA". Rfam says of the family: Transfer RNA (tRNA) molecules are approximately 80 nucleotides in length. Their secondary structure includes four short double-helical elements and three loops (D, anti-codon, and T loops). The record is from Rfam by way of RNAcentral. Lineage: Bacteria; Pseudomonadati; Spirochaetota; Spirochaetia; Spirochaetales; Spirochaetaceae.